This 505-nucleotide ribosomal RNA is filed under the name uncultured bacterium. Its description in RNAcentral is "partial 16S ribosomal RNA". It matches the Rfam family "Bacterial small subunit ribosomal RNA", at positions 28 to 507 of the family's 1533-position model. The record is from RNAcentral.
GACGAACGCUGGCGGCGUGCCUAAUACAUGCAAGUAGAACGCACAGUUUAUACCGUAGCUUGCUACACCAUAAACUGUGAGUUGCGAACGGGUGAGUAACGCGUAGGUAACCUGCCUGGUAGCGGGGGAUAACUAUUGGAAACGAUAGCUAAUACCGCAUAAUAUUGAUUAUUGCAUGAUAAUUGAUUGAAAGAUGCUAUUGCAUCACUACCAGAUGGACCUGCGUUGUAUUAGCUAGUAGGUGAGGUAACGGCUCACCUAGGCGACGAUACAUAGCCGACCUGAGAGGGUGAUCGGCCACACUGGGACUGGGACACGGCCCAGACUCCUACGGGAAGCAGCAGUAGGGAAUCUUCGGCAAUGGACGAAAGUCUGACCGAGCAACGCCGCGUGAGUGAAGAAGGGUUUCGGAUCGUAAAGCUCUGUUGUAAGGGGAGAACGGGUGUGAGAGUGGAAAGUUCACACUGUGACGGUAUCUUACCAGAAAGGGACGGCUAACUACGUG